GGGUUUGAGAUAAACAAACAAGCUGCUAGAUUGACAAGGGGUGUCUUAUGCUGGGAAAAUAAGUGAAUGUAUAGGUUGGGAGAGAGGGAACAGGGUCAAUUAAACUGUGGAGCAAUAGGGGUGGCAAAUUUUGGAUUUGAUAGUUGAUUUCUAAAGGUAUAUUUUCAACUUUCAUGCCCAGGGAGAGAGCAAGAGCGAGAGCAAGAGAGACCUUGGUGGUCGGCAGGAGUGGUGACUGUGCCUUUAGGACAUCCUACCGUAGGGGCUCCAGCAGAGACUGUGGGCUGUAGUCCUCCUGUUUAUCUUGCAGACUUUGUGAAUUACCACCUACUUUGAAAUUACAAGCUAAAAUUGUAUGAUCUAGUAUCAAGGGAUUCAAAUCUUCAUGAGAAUAUCAGUGUGGGGAAGUGGAUGUGAAAAUGGACCAGAAAGGAGUGAAGCAGCUUUCUGGCUUUGUAACUUCUCACUGAAGAUAAAGAACAGAUGUAAACUAGUAUUUUUU
This 502-nucleotide long non-coding RNA is filed under the name Oryctolagus cuniculus (rabbit). RNAcentral's name for it is "lncRNA (ENSOCUG00000039527.1)". Lineage: Eukaryota; Metazoa; Chordata; Mammalia; Lagomorpha; Leporidae. The record is from RNAcentral.